RNAcentral lists this non-coding RNA (236 nucleotides) under Liquorilactobacillus cacaonum. Its description in RNAcentral is "Lactobacillus cacaonum T-box sequence". It matches the Rfam family "T-box leader". Rfam says of the family: Uncharged tRNA acts as the effector for transcription antitermination of genes in the T-box leader family. T-boxes are found upstream of many aminoacyl-tRNA synthetase genes and some amino acid biosynthetic genes usually in Gram-positive bacteria. The record is from RNAcentral. Lineage: Bacteria; Bacillati; Bacillota; Bacilli; Lactobacillales; Lactobacillaceae.
UAUUAAACGUUGAUUAGGAAAGUAACUAACAGACGCCAUUCAGAGAGUCAUCGGUUGGUGCAAGAUGAUUAGGUAUACGUUAAUGAAAAUCACCUAUGAGUUGUAGAUUGAAUUUAAGUAGAUUCUACUGGGUACUCCCAUUACAGAGACAACAAAUUGUUGUGUUAGUUUGUUUAAGGUACUUGUAAUUAGUCAAGUAUAAAAAAAGGUGGUACCACGUUUAUAACGUCCUUUAG